GACGAACGCUGGCGGCGUGCUUAACACAUGCAAGUCGAGCGGUAAGGCCCUUCGGGGUACACGAGCGGCGAACGGGUGAGUAACACGUGGGUGACCUGCCCUCCACUUCGGGAUAAGCCUGGGAAACCGGGUCUAAUACCGGAUAGGACCUCCGCACGCAUGUGCGGUGGUGGAAAGUUUUUCGGUGGAGGAUGGGCCCGCGGUCUAUCAGCUUGUUGGUGGGGUGAUGGCCUACCAAGGCGACGACGGAUAGCCGGCCUGAGAGGGUGAUCGGCCACACUGGGACUGAGACACGGCCCAGACUCCUACGGGAGGCAGCAGUGGGGAAUCUUGCGCAAUGGGCGAAAGCCUGACGCAGCAACGCCGCGUGGGGGGUGACGGCCUUCGGGUUGUAAACCUCUUUCGCGAUCGACGAAGCUCGUACUUCUGGUACGGGUGACGGUAGGUCGAGAAGAAGCACCGGCCAACUACGUGCCAGCCGCCGCCGUAA
This 490-nucleotide ribosomal RNA is filed under the name uncultured bacterium. RNAcentral describes it as "partial 16S ribosomal RNA". It matches the Rfam family "Bacterial small subunit ribosomal RNA", at positions 28 to 523 of the family's 1533-position model. The record is from RNAcentral.